UACGUAGGUCCCGAGCGUUGUCCGGAUUUAUUGGGCGUAAAGCGAGCGCAGGUGGUUUAUUAAGUCUGGUGUAAAAGGCAGUGGCUCAACCAUUGUAUGCAUUGGAAACUGGUAGACUUGAGUGCAGGAGAGGAGAGCGGAAUUCCAUGUGUAGCGGUGAAAUGCGUAGAUAUAUGGAGGAACACCGGUGGCGAAAGCGGCUCUCUGGCCUGUAACUGACAUUGAGGCUCGAAAGCGUGGGGAGCAAACAGG
Molecule: ribosomal RNA, 252 nt
Filed under: uncultured bacterium
Lineage: Bacteria
Description: partial 16S ribosomal RNA
Rfam family: Bacterial small subunit ribosomal RNA
Source: RNAcentral